This 612-nucleotide ribosomal RNA is filed under the name Pseudanabaena mucicola. RNAcentral's name for it is "Phormidium mucicola partial 16S ribosomal RNA". It matches the Rfam family "Bacterial small subunit ribosomal RNA", at positions 127 to 767 of the family's 1533-position model. Lineage: Bacteria; Bacillati; Cyanobacteriota; Cyanophyceae; Pseudanabaenales; Pseudanabaenaceae. The record is from RNAcentral.
CUGCCUCAGGACGGGGACAACAGUUGGAAACGACUGCUAAUACCGCGAUAUAGCUGAGAGGUGAAAUGAUAUUUCGCCUGAGGAUGAACUCGCGUCUGAUUAGCUAGUUGGUGAUGUAAGGGAUCACCAAGGCGACGAUCAGUAUCUGGUCUAAGAGGAUGAUCAGCCACACUGGGACUGAGACACGGCCCAUACUCCUACGGGAGGCAGCAGUGGGGAAUUUUCCGCAAUGGGCGAAAGCCUGACGGAGCAACGCCGCGUGAGGGAGGAAGGCCCUCGGGUUGUAAACCUCUUUUCUCUGGGAAGAAGAUCUUAACGGUACCAUAAGAUAUAAGCCUCGGCUAACUCCGUGCCAGCAGCCGCGGUAAGACGGAGGAGGCAAGCGUUAUCCGGAAUNAUUGGGCGUAAAGCGUCCGCAGGCGGCAUAUUAAGUCNGNANUCAAAGUCCNCNGCUCAACUUNGGGUNGGCNNUGGAAACUGGNGAGCUAGAGUACNGGAGGGGUAGAGGGAAUUCCCNGUGUAGCGGUGAAAUGCGUAGANAUNGGGAAGAACACCAGUGGCGAAGGCGCUCUACUGGACNACNACUGACACUGAGGGACGAAAGCUAGGGAC